AAUUACAAUGGAGUAGGCAAAAGUAAAAACAGAUCUAGGACCAGGCUAUUGUUGUGAGUAGAGGUCCUGCCUUCCUUUUUUUUUAAUGAGUGAUGGCUUAUCAGCAAAUCACGUGAGAGUUAGUGCUGAGCGAUUUAGUGCUUUUUGAGGUCGGUUCGGUUUCGUUUCUAUUAUUGAAAAAUAAUCACAGUUUAAGAUUUCAGUUUGGAUUGUUUUCAUUUCAGAAAGGAAACACCACAUGUACGUUUAAACAUGUAUUAGAAAAUAUAACAAUGAAUAGUUUUAGCGUUAGAGCUCUGCUCCUUCCGGGUAGCUCACUGCCAGAGAGAAGCGUCAUAUGAAGAUGAUAAUAACUACAGGCAGUGAGCACGAUAUGCGAUAUAAAAUCCCCUGAAGGAAGAAACACGGAACCCAGACCGGUGGAAGCUGCGGUGGUGGUGGGAUAUCAGCAACAGCAAGCAUAGAUUCUCACACUGAGCUUUCUCAGAAGAGAUGUCUGUCCUCAUGUUUGCUGAUUGGUCCCAGAGCCGAGAAACUGUCAGAGACUGAGGUCAGAGUGAGGAGAGAAGAGGACAAGAGGAGAAAGGAGAGGACAAGAGAAGAGAAGACAAGAGAAGAGAAGAGAGGAGAGGAGUAGAAGAGGAGAAGAAAGAUGGAUAGGAGGAGGAAGGGAAGGAGAGCAGAGUGGGGAGCUGAAUCAAUAGUCCAGAGAAUCUGCAUUCUUCCACUGAACUGUCUGACUCAGUGAUAAGUGUUCCUAAUUGUGUAAUCACUGGCAUUGGUAUGAGUAGUUGUGUAAUAACAGUCGUUUAACACAAUAUCUCAUCUCACUCCCACUCAGUGUAUCAGUACGUAUUCACACCUGUUUUCUUGACGUCUUAUUGAAAUAACUCACUUUUUGGCAUCGGUUUGUGUUUAACAUUGUACAUUUUUGUGACACCAAAUAAUUUCAUCACCAUAUGUUUUUUGCCAAAACUCAGUUUAGGUACUAUUCAUAGGUUAUAAUAGAAUGAUAUGAUAUGAAGCUAAACACAUUAGCAUGUUUAGUUAAUUUACUGUAAGUUAACUGAUGUGUUUGUAAUUUCGGGGUACAGUAGAAUAUUGACAUCAGACCUUAGUAUUUUUCUGUAAGAGAGAAGGGAGAGGCCCUUUGAUCUGCGGCCUAUAGAGUAUCAGCCCUAUCCCUGCUGCAAAGGCUUCUGGGAUGCUGGAGGAACCACAGGUCCAGAGAAAACACACUCCAAGCCUACUCUUUGAGCACUGGAUUUUACAAGCCAAACAAGUGGUCGGGCCUUCCCCCAUGUCAAAUAAAUAUGAUGUCAAACAGA
Long non-coding RNA from Salmo salar (Atlantic salmon), 1328 nucleotides. RefSeq lists it as uncharacterized. The record is from RefSeq and is a predicted model, not a curated record. NCBI's taxonomy places the organism in Eukaryota, Metazoa, Chordata, Actinopteri, Salmoniformes, Salmonidae.